This 849-nucleotide long non-coding RNA is filed under the name Eucalyptus grandis. RNAcentral's name for it is "long non-coding RNA (EGRA_LNC001771)". The record is from RNAcentral. Lineage: Eukaryota; Viridiplantae; Streptophyta; Magnoliopsida; Myrtales; Myrtaceae.
GCAUGUCUCCUGGCUUCGAUCUUUUCUCCCUUCUUCCCUGCUAAUUUCUGCUUCUCUGAACCAAAGUAGUAGACUGGCGUUACUUUUCAGAAAGUGCUUCCUUCUUGGGAGAACAAUUGAAAGUGCGUAGCAUAGUAAAGCAAUUCAAUCGCAUAAACUGCAUCUGAAAAGUACAUACAACUUGGAUCUGAAAAGUACAUACAACUUCCCUCUGUUAUAGAAUUUGUUUUACCUAGGCCUUUUCCACGUAGUUUCUUCGAAACUGCAGUGGGUCCUGAGUAGCGGCGAAAGUUUUCUAAGAUGGCAUUCACUUUGCAGCAUGAUGUGGAUAUGAACACAACAAAGAUCUGGAUAUGAACACAACAAAGAUCACCACCAUCAGCGUCACCUGCGAACCAGAAAAAGCGAAUUCCAACGCGCAUGGCGUUGAAGCUCCCUCCACUGUGGAUCAUGCUGCUUCGACAUUGCCAACGCAUGUCGCAAGCCCUAGUCGAUCCUCAGAUUCUCAACAAAGGUGCGGAUCUCCCGAGAAGCAAAGCGCCUCUUUCCUCCUGCCGGAUCUCAACAUGAUGCCUGAUCUCAACAUGAUGCCGUCCGAAGACGAUCCUCUCUCUGAAGCAUUGAAGGGCAUGAGUAGCGGAGAAACACUAGAAACACUCCAGGUGUGUGUCAACUGAAGCGAGCGGUUAAAACCAUGCUCGUUUUAUGUUGCUGUCCGAUUCGUAUAUGCUGUUUUUUGAUGAUGCAUUCUAGUAAGAAGAGGAUCUACUCCAAACUGCCUUACCUGGAGACGAUCUAGGCAAGAAAAGCAGGGGAUCAUAAGUCAACGUCAGCACGGAAGGAGAUUCC